AUACUCUGGUUUCUCUUCACAUCGAAUAAAGCUUUCGCCUUUACUAAAGUUUUUCUGUGGAGACGAUCAUCCAUGAGUUUAAAUUUUUUUUUUUUUUUGAGGCUCUGCCCCUUGCAGGGCU
This is a small nuclear RNA of Bombina bombina (fire-bellied toad), 121 nucleotides long. RefSeq annotates it as U5 spliceosomal RNA. The record is from RefSeq and is a predicted model, not a curated record. NCBI's taxonomy places the organism in Eukaryota, Metazoa, Chordata, Amphibia, Anura, Bombinatoridae. The transcript has a single exon.